GACUCGUCACACUAUCAUUAACUGAAUCCAUAGGUUAAUGAGGCGAACCGGGGGAACUGAAACAUCUAAGUACCCCGAGGAAAAGAAAUCAACCGAGAUUCCCCCAGUAGCGGCGAGCGAACGGGGAGGAGCCCAGAGCCUGAAUCAGCAUGUGUGUUAGUGGAAGCGUCUGGAAAGGCGCGCGAUACAGGGUGACAGCCCCGUACACAAAAGCGCAUGUGCUGUGAGCUCGAUGAGUAGGGCGGGACACGUGGUAUCCUGUCUGAAUAUGGGGGGACCAUCCUCCAAGGCUAAAUACUCCUGACUGACCGAUAGUGAACCAGUACCGUGAGGGAAAGGCGAAAAGAACCCCGGCGAGGGGAGUGAAAAAGAACCUGAAACCGUGUACGUACAAGCAGUGGGAGCACAGGUUUACCUGUGUGACUGCGUACCUUUUGUAUAAUGGGUCAGCGACUUAUAUUCUGUAGCAAGGUUAACCGAAUAGGGGAGCCGGAGGGAAACCGAGUCUUAAUUGGGCGUUAAGUUGCAGGGUAUAGACCCGAAACCCGGUGAUCUAGCCAUGGGCAGGUUGAAGGUUGGGUAACACUAACUGGAGGACCGAACCGACUAAUGUUGAAAAAUUAGCGGAUGACCUGUGGCUGGGGGUGAAAGGCCAAUCAAACCGGGAGAUAGCUGGUUCUCCCCGAAAGCUAUUUAGGUAGCGCCUCGUGAAUUCAUCUCCGGGGGUA
This 728-nucleotide ribosomal RNA is filed under the name Salmonella enterica. RNAcentral's name for it is "partial 23S ribosomal RNA". It matches the Rfam family "Bacterial large subunit ribosomal RNA", at positions 137 to 904 of the family's 2925-position model. The record is from RNAcentral. Lineage: Bacteria; Pseudomonadati; Pseudomonadota; Gammaproteobacteria; Enterobacterales; Enterobacteriaceae.